GGUCACGUGGCUUAGUUGGUAAAGCACUCGUCUAGCAUACAUAAGUCCUGGGUUUGAAUCCCAGCCGAACUC
RNAcentral lists this transfer RNA (72 nucleotides) under Aedes aegypti (yellow fever mosquito). It matches the Rfam family "tRNA". Rfam says of the family: Transfer RNA (tRNA) molecules are approximately 80 nucleotides in length. Their secondary structure includes four short double-helical elements and three loops (D, anti-codon, and T loops). Lineage: Eukaryota; Metazoa; Arthropoda; Insecta; Diptera; Culicidae. The record is from Rfam by way of RNAcentral.